ACAAGCUGACGAGUCCCAAAUAGGACGAAAAGCGCGUCCUGGAU
Molecule: non-coding RNA, 44 nt
Filed under: Schistosoma mansoni
Lineage: Eukaryota; Metazoa; Platyhelminthes; Trematoda; Strigeidida; Schistosomatidae
Source: RNAcentral